AGAUCACAGACUGCUGAAUAAGAGAGAAGUCCGGUGACUGAAAAAAUAGAAGGAUUUGAAAACUGCUAAUAUUUUCUAUUAUAGCAACUGAGAAUUAGACACUGGGGAAAAAUUUUGGCUCCUCGUUUGGGUCAAAAAUGUAGCAUGAGGUAGCAUUUUAAAGUCCAAUCCCCAAGAGGUUUGCAAUGAUUUAAUGUAUGCUAAGUAAUUCACAAUAAUAACAAGAGUGUGCAAAUUUUAGAUAAUUAUUGCCUAUGUUAUACCAAAUUAUUUAAAGUCUGGUGGUUAAAACAAAAGAUUCUUUGCCUAAAGACCUUUUUGUUCACUUCCUUCUUAUUUUACUAAACCAAAGCAAGAAUUAUCCAGAAGAUUUUUGUGAUCUCAUGGGCAGGCAAGAAGUGGGAACAGAAAUGAUAGCAAAUAUAUCCAAGCUCUACAAAAGGGCUACAAAAGUAAUUUUCAUUUAAAAAGGUAUUUUUUAAUGCUUUAAAUACUUUUAGAAUUGGAUCAUCUGUCUCAGCUGAUUGGAAAGAAAUCUACCAGGCUUGACUUUGAGGUCCGUGUGUGUGGCUAAAGCAGAUAUGAGUAAAAGGUUUGGCCUAAGGUCUUCAUUCUCCUUUUGGAAAGGGAUAGACACAUAGCAGCACAGAGAAAUGGAAAACUAAAAGCCAAUGCUGAUGGAAGAGACUUACAGCAAGUAAGAGACAUGUAACUAAACAGGUGUCAUGUUGUGGGCUUAUCCCAGACUUCCAUUAGAUUGAAAUGAUGGUUUUUAUUAAAAAUCUUUUUAUGCCAAAUACAUGGACAGUAGCUGUCCAUGUGUAUAAUCUUUUUUUUUUUUUUUUUUUUUUAAUAUUUGUAACAUUUUUCUACAAAUUUCUAAAGGUUUGUAUGAAAAGGUGCCUGCUGUUUGGAAACACUUUUUCUACUGCCCUGGAGGUUCAAAUAUUCAAAUAUCAAAUGCAGUGCCUUCCAAACAAUGUGAUUUGAUUUGGAAAUUUGUUCCCUUACAACAAAAGAGAAAGAUUCUGCUCUACAGAUUCUCUUAAAAAGGGGAACACAUUAAGCACUGGAAAAUGUAAAAAUACAGCAACAAAACACAUACUAGUAAUUUCACAGUUAUCUUGGCUGUUGUAAAUAUGAGAAAAAGGAAAAUAAAAGGGAAAUAAAAGAAAAAUCAAUGGGUAGAUUUUAUAUGACAUGUUUGAGGGUCUUUCCCAUGUACCAGUAUAUUUCUUUUAAAGCAGACUCACACUACUUAAUGAGUGAAGCAUAGAUGUGUGUGUGCAUCAAAAAUGCAUGAAAUAUUCACCUUAGCUCUGUAUAAUCCCUUUGGAAAUAAAAACAGGCAACUUUACUAAGAUAUUGCAGAAUUUAAUAAUUGAUUAGUUUAAGAUUUAAUGAUAUGUUUCAUCUAUGCAUUAAUCAUUUCUCCCCCUUCUGAUGUUAAUGCUUUUCAAAGUCAUUGCUUGAUGACACCAUGUAAAUUCAGCAGUCUGACAGUUAAAAGAAAGGUUUAGAGGUCUUGGAUAAGUUUUUGAAAAUUAGUAUAUUGCAAGUACCAAGAAAUUUUAGAUGCAGUAUGUUACAGGGAAAAAAAAAUCAAUCAGAAAUUGCUAAGGGACCACAUUUAUUUUGUUGUUUACAAUUUUUUUGACCUGCUUUUAUCAGAUGUGAAUUGGCCUUUAUCUGGGAAGUAUUUACUUCAUCUGAGAAAUAUUAAUGUUGCUUUACAUAUGACUUGAGUUUAAAAAAUAUAUUUUAAAGCAGUGACUGUAAAUAUUUGAAAGAGAUCUUUGUUUCUGUCAAAGUCCUGUUAAUAACAGUCUGAACACAGGAGGGAGACAAAGACUUGCUUAAGAUAGGUGCAGAGACGUGUUUAAAAGCUAAACUUCGGGAAAGAAAUAGAGUGAAUGUAGCUGGUGAUUUACAAGUACUAUGUUUGAUAUAAAAUAAUAUUUUUAUCAUAUAACAUAUUGCUUUCUAAAUUUCCCCCUAACAUUAUUUGUUGAGAAAUAGGUCACCCUACAUCUUUUUCCAUUAUUAAUUACUUCAAAUGUGAUAAUUUCUUAGCCUAUUUCUGGAACUGAUAUCAUGGAUAGCCUUCCCUUGUCUCUGCCUGCAGCUGAUAUUGAGGUAUUUUUGCCAAUAGAAAAAUUACAUCGGAUCACAUCAAAGUUAUAUUGUCUCUGCAGAUUGUACCACUAAUAUUUGAAGAAAGAUGCACUUAUCCUUUUUUUUUUUUCCUAACUCAGCACCAUUGGCCAUGAGCAUGUAGUGUUUUGCAGUGCUUUCUUUUGUUUGAGAGCUCUACAAAGAGUUGAUAUGAUAGAGAAAGAUUUUUAAAACUGUUUUCUUCCAAAACCUCUUGGCAUAAAAAAAUUAGCAAACCAUGACUGCACAAAUUUUUACAGUCUUCUGUAGUUUGCAGUGAGAACAGAGCUAAGGAAACUUGCUGGAUGUUUGGUAGCUGGGAAUCCUAAGCCCUCUUUCCCUACAGCAGAAGUGCAACAACAUGCCUGGAUUCGCCAGUGUGAGCUAACCAUAUCUCUGAAGAAGCCCAUCCUGAAUUAAUUUUCCUUGUACACACGAGGCCUGUCUGCUGAGAUUGAAGGUCAGCUCAUUUUUCUGAUUUCUGAUAUGGUUUCCUACUUGCUGAGAGCUGAACUGAGACUGCUUACACUGGCCAGCAAAGGGUCACAGGACGGACUUUUCAUUGCAGUCAUAUAGUGAAGAAAACAAAACUGACUGGCAGUGAAUCCUAUCAAUUGACUUAGAGAUGGUGGAAAAGAGCUGGAUAUGAUAAAGCAACAAAAUGAUAAUGUGGAAAAACUUCUGAAUGGUAGGAGUAGUUUUCUAUGUGGGCUCCAAAUUGGUUGCCUGGUCCCUGUAAUACUGCUUUUGUGCUUUAUAUCUGCUUACGGCAUUUUAAAAUGAUAACACCAAUUAAUCUUUACAUUUUUAUAGUAAAAUUGUGAAAAAAUAAUUCCAAGGACUUGAUGAUGAUUUGGGUAAAUUUGACAAUCCUACUCUGUAAUCUAGAUAUCAGUUCAAUUCUGGAUGACUUUACAUCCUUCUCUCAGAUCCACAAUCACCCAGCCUUUUUUGUGUUGUUAUGAAUUGUAACUAGGACAUCAAUAUUUCCAAACUGCAUCAAAGAGCUGUCUCUACUUACACAUGUGAAAGCAAUUCAUAAUGACAAGAAAUAUACAGAAAUAAAAUAAAGGACCACUGUACUGGACAAUUAAAACCUCAUAAAACAUGGCUACCUUCUAUGCUAUUAAAAAGAAAAUGCAAGCCAGAUGUUUCAUGUAAGUAUGGGGCUUAGUUUGGACUACACAGAUGCAUCAUCUCUGUGACUUUUAGAUCAACAAAACAAACUAAAAGUAGGUUUUUUUAGUGUAGAGAAAUUCACUGUAUUCCAGCAGAAUCAUGGAGUUAUAAAAUCAUAGAAUCAUUGAAUGGUUUGGCCUGGAAGGUACAUCUUGUUCCAACCCUCCUGCCAUGAGCAAUGUUGGUCAGAGCCCUAUCCAAGACCUUGACGGAUGGGGAAUCUGCAGCUGGGUAAGAAAAGCAGCAUCGGGAAUUUUUCCUUAAACAAGAGCAAUAUUGGUUGUAAGUUGAUGGUGGAUCUGUUUCAAAACAGAAAGCUAUUUCAAAACUACUGUUGCUGAAACAGUGCAAAACCAGAGCCCAUACUUUUAAUAUAUACAGCAAAAUGAGCUCUCAGGCAGGCUGGGAAUAGCUACUUGGGCUAUGUGGCAGAGGCAGUACUAUUCUCUCUACCGUCCGUUUUCUAAAAUGAAGCAACUGCUAAGUCAGUUCUGCAUUAGAUCUUUGCUGGCAACAGUGAUUAGCAUAGCACAAUCUGCUGGAGUUGUAGACAGCUGAGUUCUGUGCAUCUAAAAAAUUUAGCCAUAAACAAGCAGGCAGAACUACAAGAAAACCAUUGCACCAGUGAGAAAUUUUAAGAAAAGGUAACUGUAGCCACUUCCUGCCUGCCUUCCUGCCUAGAUGAGAUUACAAUGCUGAGCUCUUGCUGGGACAACACUUGAGAAAUGCUAAAAAACUCUCUUUGGGUAACAUAAGCACUUCAUAACACUUUUACUGAUGUUUAGGUUUCCUUUUCUCAUCUGUAACAGUAUCUUCGGUGCCUUGGGGAGGGACGCUCACUGCUCACUGCGCAGCUGGGGCAGCCUGCCUGCCUGUGGUUCCUGGGGAUGACACAUGACUCAAGUGAGUAAUGGAGACUGGCAACUGCCCAAUAUUUUACUGCCCAAUUUCGCUGGACAGUAAACUGUGGAUCUGCUUGAUCUUUGGAUGCAUUUGGAAGCAGGUGGGCCAUGAGAACUCAGGUGGAGGCUGACUCCCAAAGGAGAGUGAAUGGAGAAAUGUGGCCUGUCCCUACAGCUUUGGAAAUACAAGCCUUGACAGAAUGUAUAAAGGUGAGGACAAAGGCGAGUUGUGGCAAGGGAAAUUCAGGCAACUGGUAAGUGACACUGAGAAAAUCUUUUAUCAAAGUGUAGGCAGAAGUCACCAGAGACCAGGAUUUCAACAACUGGCGUUUUAUAAAACCAAGCGAAAAGCAGACCUGAAAAGAAAUACAGUAUCUGAGCAACAGUGAGUAAGGUUGAAUGGUGUCCACAGACAGAUAACGUGAGCAGAACUGUGCAAAGGCAUGUAUUUUCUUUCAGAACAAUAAAAGCCAAACAUACCAGAGAUUACUAAUAGAGAUAGGAACCUGUAUGAAAUGUUGACAUGUAUAAAAUAUCCUUCAAUAGAAAAUGAGUGCAGCUUGAAAACCAUCAUGUUCAAGACCUGAAAACACAUCAAAUGAGUAAAGACACAGAGACAGGUCAUACAUUUUGAGGAGAAAAGUUGUACUGAAUGGAGAAGAAGGUAAUCAGUCAAAGCAAUCAAGGAAAGCAUCAGAGCAGGAAAUUAUCAGGUUAUGCUUUGGAGCCAGUGAAUAAAAGGCAGCUAAUAUCAGAAGUAAGCUUAGCAUGGAUGACCAAUGUAGUAAUCCUGUUGAUGUAGAUGACCUAAAUUGUGAUAUAUUUGUGAUUGUUUCUCACCGUACAGCAGCAAAAGCUGUUGUUUACUGCCUUAAUCGGCUAAACAAAUGUAAUUUCGUGUUAAAUUACUACACUAGGUACAGUCCUAUUGUCAUGAAAUUGGUGGCAAAGUUGUGAGAGAAGGUUUGAAUUUCUGAAAGCACUAAAUUUCAAAGAAACAUCUCAGUCUCGGCUCUGUCCCAGGUAAUAAAGUAGCAAAAAAUUGUGUCUGAAGGAGUGGCAAGUAUAAAAAACUGUCCAGUCAUUACACUGUAAUAGGCAAACACAAAGAGCUUAUUUAAACAUAAGUAUGCAUAAUAGGAGUUGUGCUCUUUAUAGUCAACUUACAUUCAAAAAGUAAUCUACAUAGUCAGUCCUAGCCUGAUAUAUAUUACCACUCAGCAUAUAUGAAAAAGCACUUGCAGAUUCAAGAUGAAGAACACGUUGCAAAUUCUUUAUUCAAAUUUAGAAAUUCAGCAUAGGACUAUCUGCUCUUGCACAUUUAAAGCUUCCAGUUCAUCUCAAAAUAAAUGUACCUACAUAUACAGUGUAAAACACAUAUGAAGAUGACAGUACAGCUUUUUUUGGAUUCCAAAUAGUAAAAAUGACAAAUGUUUACAUAUGUUGGCAGAAUACCUUAUUAUAAUGGUGCUUAUCAAUUGUGGUGCUUGGAAAUAAAUUUAAAAUAAUAUUUGAGGGCAAGCUUUCUUGAACAAGAGUGAGAUAGCUGUUCCACAAAUCAACAGUUUCAGUGUUGCUUUCUCCACUGUUGUCUCACUUAAGGAAAUGUUGCUGAGCACACACUUUUCCCUAAGAGAGACAGUGAAGUUAGUGCAGCUACGCUCCCUUCUGAAGCAGCCUGAGAGCACUGUAUGGUUGCAACUCUGCCAGAAACAAAUAGACAGCAAGGUGAUUGCAUGAAUGUACAUGAAUGGCUACUGCAACCUAUUUAGUAUUUUAUAUUAAAUUUUAUUAAAUUGACAACCACCAAUGAAAGCAGCGACAAUAAGCAUGUGCGUGCACUUUCUUAUUUAAAACACAGAUGUAUGCUGUGAUCUCUAGUUUUUCUAUAUGAUGUCAUCAUGCAAGAAAAAUUUUCUGCAUCAUGAAGUAUUUUAUCUCUUGAUAUGCUCAAUCUCUGCUAACAGAAUUCAAUAUAUAUCUAUGUCUUUGUACAGUUCACCUGCUACACAGGAUCACACAGGAAAUUAUUCACACAUAUGCUUGUCAAAAUAUAACAAGUGUCCAGAAAAGGAGAAUAUCUUAUGAUAAGUUUGCAGUUAGACUGUAAGUGGUAUCAUAGGCCAAGACUACCUUAGAUAAAUUUUGUAACAGUUGUAAGUGCUCUAUACAUAUACCUUAUUCAGGCAUUUUUAUAGAGAUAUUUAAUUACAAUGCCAUGUCUAUCUUAUUGUAAUGCAGAAAAAGCGCUCAGACUGGUCAGCUACGUCUAUUUAGCUUCUUCUGAAAAAUACAACUGAAAACUUAGUAUGCCUUGGCAUGGAGGAAUUUAAAAAAAAUAACUGUAUUUACUGUUAAUGGAAUGCUGCUUCAUAGUCAGAACAAUUUCAGAACUGGAACUAGAAAGUAGUUAAAUGCCACAAAGCAUCAAAUAUGGGACAAACAGUGGGUUUGAUUAUCUGGAUUUGUCCCAUCCUCUCCAGUGAAGGAUUCAGAAAUUUCUGCAAUUUAUAGACACAGAAUUUGUGUACAAUAAUUCAUACCCAUAUUGUUGAUUUGACACAAUACUUCUAGACUUAUAGAAAAGCUAAGAUGUUUGUGUGUCACUAGAUUUCAAAUACCCCAAUGAAGACUUGCAAACCCAGAUCAGAAGCCAUCCAACACCUCAAUAAUGAAGAAGCCAGUAUUUAGCUUGCAUGUAAUUUUUGGCGAGAAGUUUAUAAAGAGCUUUAUAAUCCAGAUCUUUGGGAGCACUUUGUAAACAUGAGAAAUGAUACCUGAGUCUAUAUGAUCACUGAGGGUAAACACAUCAACCAGUCUGGGAAGCUGAAGUAAUGUCUGAAAUAGCAUGAUUGUCAAAAAUUAAAAUGAAAGUAUUACGAUUUGGUGGUGUUUAUGUUCUACCUGGCUUCUAUUUUUCCUACCUUGAAGGUUGUUGGACCAGUAGGAAAAAUUGUCCUCUGCAUAAAAAGUGGAGAUAGAGAUAAAGUAUAUUGGCCCAAAUUCUCAGUACUCCUGAGAUAAAAAGAACAGAGAAAAACAAAAUGAAUGGAAGUAAUUAAAAAGUCACAUCAUUAAAUUAGUACUGCUUCAUGAUCUACUGUUUUAAGGUCUUAGAUCUCCAGCUGCUUGUCAGAGAAAUAAGAGAACAGCAGCCACAGAAAUAAGAGAAGCAGUUUGCAUUUUCUAUCAUUCUCUCUUUUAAAUGUGACCAUCCAGAAUUCUUAUCCUAGUGCUUCCUUUUUUCCUCCAAAGUGGAUUCCUAAGGAAGACCUGGUGUUUUGGGAUUCUGAGAUUAGUUGUCUUCCUCCCUAGAGAUGGGGUUCUAGCUUUGCUCACCUGUAGGUGACAGUUAAGGUCAUAAGGUCUCAGGCUUUUAGUAGUUAAAGAGGUGGUGACUAUUUUGUGUGUGGGGUUAGAGGUCAAUUUUAAAUGUUCAACCCAUAUGUUCAGGUAGCAGUUUGGAUUGUAAAACCUUUGGCCGAAGUUCUGAUCAUGGCAGCUGGGCAGAAAAUGAACUGUAUUGCUAAUUGCAUGCAGCACAUAUUGGGCUUAUUUGAGUAGCAGUAUGCAAACUGAUGUAUGCUCACUAAUCUGUUCCACUACUUCAAGAACAUUUUAAUCUUAACAUUAGUCCCAGAAAAAAAAGUCACUGCUUUCCAAAAAUCAAAGUUGGUAUCAGUAAAGAUUGAUAUUCUUUGCUUUUAUUAAAUAAGUUAACACAUAAUCAGAAUUAAAAGCCCAGCUUCUUGUCUAAGGUUGCAAUGCAAGAUGUGGUUGGGAGUAUGUAUUCCAUUGCCAUCUGUUAGAACCAGGUGGGACAGUUAUCUUCUUUUAGUAGGUCAGCCGUUAAACCAGGUGGGGCAGUUUUCUUUACCUCUUCCAGUACCCAUCCUCUCUCCGGGGAGAUCUCUUAGUGAGAAGAUUGAGUGAGACAUUGAGUCCCACUGCAUGACUGAUAAAAUGACAUCAUCCCAUUCUGAGAUGCUCCAUGCAGGGGGAGAGCCAAGCAUUCCUACCUGGAUAUAAUCUGAGUAUUGGAACACCACAGGCAGCCCUUUCCCACUGGAUUCCCAGAGGUGCAGCCUUUUCCACUGGAUUCCCAGAGGAAGACCAGGCUCAUCAUUUGCCUCUGGACCUUCAGAGGAAAACUACAUUCUUCUACAGGAUCACUGCUUCAACAGGACCACAUGUGUCACUCCAAAAAGACUGCAGCCACCGUUUAAUCGGAACAACACCCUGACCAACAGGGUGUCAGGCUGUGUUCUGACUCUGUCAGUGUUGUUUUCUAUUACUGCAUUUUUAUUUUUAUUUUCCUAAUAAAGAACUGUUAUUCCUACUUCCAUA
This is a long non-coding RNA of Serinus canaria (Common canary), 8582 nucleotides long. RefSeq lists it as uncharacterized. The transcript is spliced from 2 exons. NCBI's taxonomy places the organism in Eukaryota, Metazoa, Chordata, Aves, Passeriformes, Fringillidae. The record is from RefSeq and is a predicted model, not a curated record.